This 519-nucleotide ribosomal RNA is filed under the name Penicillium chrysogenum. Its description in RNAcentral is "eukaryotic LSU rRNA". The stretch from base 145 to 297 matches the Rfam family "5.8S ribosomal RNA". Lineage: Eukaryota; Fungi; Ascomycota; Eurotiomycetes; Eurotiales; Aspergillaceae. The record is from RNAcentral.
CCCGUGUUUAUUUUACCUUGUUGCUUCGGCGGGCCCGCCUUAACUGGCCGCCGGGGGGCUUACGCCCCCGGGCCCGCGCCCGCCGAAGACACCCUCGAACUCUGUCUGAAGAUUGUAGUCUGAGUGAAAAUAUAAAUUAUUUAAAACUUUCAACAACGGAUCUCUUGGUUCCGGCAUCGAUGAAGAACGCAGCGAAAUGCGAUACGUAAUGUGAAUUGCAAAUUCAGUGAAUCAUCGAGUCUUUGAACGCACAUUGCGCCCCCUGGUAUUCCGGGGGGCAUGCCUGUCCGAGCGUCAUUGCUGCCCUCAAGCACGGCUUGUGUGUUGGGCCCCGUCCUCCGAUCCCGGGGGACGGGCCCGAAAGGCAGCGGCGGCACCGCGUCCGGUCCUCGAGCGUAUGGGGCUUUGUCACCCGCUCUGUAGGCCCGGCCGGCGCUUGCCGAUCAACCCAAAUUUUUAUCCAGGUUGACCUCGGAUCAGGUAGGGAUACCCGCUGAACUUAAGCAUAUCAAUAAGCGG